This is a long non-coding RNA of Strongylocentrotus purpuratus (purple sea urchin), 257 nucleotides long. RefSeq lists it as uncharacterized. The record is from RefSeq and is a predicted model, not a curated record. Lineage: Eukaryota; Metazoa; Echinodermata; Echinoidea; Camarodonta; Strongylocentrotidae. The transcript has 2 exons.
AGCCAUAGAUAUCUAUAAGGCUAGCAACCAUUCAGGUGCCAUUGUGUCGCAUCAGGGAACCAAGGAAAUGCUUAAGGAUUGGCGUGAUAACACCUCUCAAGAACAACAACGGCCAAUCCUGAAGAAAGCGCUGAAAGACGCAGGCUUAGUCAGGCUAGCUGAAAAAUAUUUGGGAGGUGAAGCGGCUACGGGCACGGGGCAAGCUGGCAGAAGUGGAACUGAAACACAUUCAGGUAAAAAAAAAAAAAAAAAAAAAA